UACCCGCAGCCCGAGUGGUGGUCACUUUUAUUGAGCCUAAAGCGUUCGUAGCCGGAUUGGUAAAUCUUUGGGGAAAUCGAGCGGCUCAACCGUUCGAAUUCCGAAGACACUGCCAAUCUUGGGACCGGGAGAGGUCUGAGGUACUUCGGGGGUAGGGGUAAUAUCCUGUAAUCCUCGAAAGACCACCAGUGGCGAAGGCGUCAGACUUGAACGGAUCCGACGGUGAGGGACGAAGCCCAGGGUCGCAAACGGG
Molecule: ribosomal RNA, 253 nt
Filed under: uncultured Methanomassiliicoccales archaeon
Lineage: Archaea; Methanobacteriati; Thermoplasmatota; Thermoplasmata; Methanomassiliicoccales
Description: partial 16S ribosomal RNA
Rfam family: Archaeal small subunit ribosomal RNA
Source: RNAcentral